Molecule: ribosomal RNA, 426 nt
Filed under: uncultured prokaryote
Description: bacterial SSU rRNA
Rfam family: Bacterial small subunit ribosomal RNA
Source: RNAcentral
UGGGGAAUCUUCCGCAAUGGACGAAAGUCUGACGGAGCAACGCCGCGUGAGUGAAGAAGGCCUUCGGGUCGUAAAGCUCUGUCAUCAGGGACGAACGGUCACGUCAGGAAAUGGGCGUGAAUUGACGGUACCUGAGAAGGAAGCCACGGCUAACUACGUGCCAGCAGCCGCGGUAAUACGUAGGUGGCGAGCGUUGUCCGGAAUUAUUGGGCUUAAAGCGCGCGCAGGUGGGAUCUUAAGUCUGUUCUGAAAGUUCGGAGCUUAACUCCGUGAUGGGAUGGAAACUGAGAUUCUUGAGUAUCGGAGAGGAAAGCGGAAUUCCCCGUGUAGCGGUGAAAUGCGUAGAUAUGGGGAGGAACACCAGUGGCGAAGGCGGCUUUCUGGACGAUGUCUGACACUGAGGCGCGAAAGCCAGGGGAGCGAACG